UUCACAUUAACUUAGGCAUGGCUUGGGGUUCGGCUAUCACUUAUCGAAGCACGAUGCUAAAAAUGGAGAAGCAAGUGAAUCCAGUGCCCUCUUGUGAAUUCAAAUGAAAUCCUUGUGAGAGUCCAAAUAGUCGUUAUCAGGAUGUUCAAAAUAUCUGAGACUAGAAUGUAACGGGAAAAAAAAAAAUUGAACGUUGUUAUGGAUGGCAGGAAAAAGCAAAAAAAGCAUAUCGGGGUUAUAUAAAACCAUUUCGUCUUUCAUUUACAACAAGUAUUCUUCCUGUUAGUGUUUCGUUAUGUUUCUGUUCUCUCUCUCUGUAAUAUUUUUUUUUCUCUGUCUUCUAUAGGAUCUCUUCGUUUGUUCAGGAUUUUUCAUCUUUUUUUUUGUUUUGUUUUCUCUAGGAUUUUUUAUCUUUCUGGUAAGGGUUUUGUUACAGCGUGCACGCUGGUCUGUAUUUCCAUUUUAUUUUGGUUGGUUUCUCUGUGAUUUUUAACCUUUUUUUGGGUUGGUUUUUCUGUGAUUUUUUGCCAGUUUUUUUGGUUGGUUUCUCUGUUUUACAUAGGAACAGGCUGAACAGGGGAAGAUGCAGAGCAAAAGGAAGAGACAGGGCAAAAGGCAGCGACAACUGAUAGAGGCAAAAUCUUUGUUCUAGACUAGAGAAUGAAUUUGUGCAGGAAUAUUUGGCAAGUGAGGAAGGAUGGAGGAGUUGUGCUACAAGUUGAUUCUGCUAUUUUGGAUUGAACGAUAAAACCACCAAGAAGGGAUGGAGGAACUGAGAGAGAGGUUAAGAGGGACAUUCUCAUCUGCCUGAAAUUGAAGGCUCUGCGCUAGUGUACAUUCAGGGAUAAACAAUUCAAGCAGAUAGUGCAAGCUCACAAACCACUCACAGCAACCUCCUCAACGUAAAGUAUUGGAUCCUGAUGCAAAUUUUCAACAUGUCGGAGGCGAAAUCAUUGCAGUUAUACCUAGUUGUUCUUGGAACAUGUUGGUGACUGCAAAGAAAGUUGUUUUCAUUAUUGAUUUAGAGCAGCAAGGGAUGGGAUUAGGUAUUUACAAUUUUUUAGUCAUUUUUUGGUCAAUUACAUUGACUUGGUAUGGUAGUUUUGUAACAUGUACAAAUACAAUGAUUAAUAAAAGAAAGUUAUUGAAAGGGGUUAAACCCCUUUCAGAGACUGAAGGGAAUGGUCAUUGGCCAUGGCCAUUUCUUAAGGUCAUGUGUUU
Long non-coding RNA from Cryptomeria japonica (Japanese cedar), 1221 nucleotides. RefSeq lists it as uncharacterized. The record is from RefSeq and is a predicted model, not a curated record. Lineage: Eukaryota; Viridiplantae; Streptophyta; Pinopsida; Cupressales; Cupressaceae. The transcript has 3 exons.